Molecule: ribosomal RNA, 723 nt
Filed under: Bifidobacterium sp. PR8
Lineage: Bacteria; Bacillati; Actinomycetota; Actinomycetes; Bifidobacteriales; Bifidobacteriaceae
Description: bacterial SSU rRNA
Rfam family: Bacterial small subunit ribosomal RNA
Source: RNAcentral
CUUGGCUCAGGAUGAACGCUGGCGGCGUGCUUAACACAUGCAAGUCGAACGGGAUCCAUCAAGCUUGCUUGAUGGUGAGAGUGGCGAACGGGUGAGUAAUACGUGACUAACCUGCCUCAUACACCGGAAUAGCUCCUGGAAACGGGUGGUAAUGCCGGAUGCUCCAACAUUUCACAUGUUUUGUUGGGAAAGCGUUAGCGGUAUGAGAUGGGGUCGCGUCCUAUCAGCUUGUUGGUGAGGUAAUGGCUCACCAAGGCUUCGACGGGUAGCCGGCCUGAGAGGGCGACCGGCCACAUUGGGACUGAGAUACGGCCCAGACUCCUACGGGAGGCAGCAGUGGGGAAUAUUGCACAAUGGGCGAAAGCCUGAUGCAGCGACGCCGCGUGCGGGAUGAAGGCCUUCGGGUUGUAAACCGCUUUUAAUUGGGAGCAAGCGAGAGUGAGUGUACCUUUUGAAUAAGCACCGGCUAACUACGUGCCAGCAGCCGCGGUAAUACGUAGGGUGCAAGCGUUAUCCGGAAUUAUUGGGCGUAAAGAGCUCGUAGGCGGUUUGUCACGCCUGGUGUGAAAGUCCAUCGCUUAACGGUGGAUCUGCGCCGGGUACGGGCAGGCUAGAGUGCAGUAGGGGAGAUUGGAAUUCCCGGUGUAACGGUGGAAUGUGUAGAUAUCGGGAAGAACACCAAUGGCGAAGGCAGAUCUCUGGGCUGUUACUGACGCUGAGAGC